RNAcentral lists this ribosomal RNA (245 nucleotides) under uncultured Desulfatiglans sp. Its description in RNAcentral is "partial 16S ribosomal RNA". It matches the Rfam family "Bacterial small subunit ribosomal RNA", at positions 524 to 768 of the family's 1533-position model. Lineage: Bacteria; Pseudomonadati; Thermodesulfobacteriota; Desulfobacteria; Desulfatiglandales; Desulfatiglandaceae. The record is from RNAcentral.
UACGGAGGGUGCAAGCGUUGUUCGGAAUUACUGGGCGUAAAGGGCGUGCAGGCGGAAUUGUAAGUCGGGUGUGAAAGCCCAGGGCUCAACCCUGGAAGUGCAUUCGAUACUGCAAUUCUAGAGUAUGGGAGAGGAGAGUGGAAUUCCGAGUGUAGAGGUGAAAUUCGUAGAUAUUCGGAGGAACACCCGUGGCGAAGGCGACUCUCUGGACCAAUACUGACGCUGAGACGCGAAAGCGUGGGGAG